Molecule: ribosomal RNA, 433 nt
Filed under: uncultured bacterium
Lineage: Bacteria
Description: partial 16S ribosomal RNA
Rfam family: Bacterial small subunit ribosomal RNA
Source: RNAcentral
AACGAACGCUGGCGGCAUGCCUAACACAUGCAAGUCGAACGAGACCUUCGGGUCUAGUGGCGCACGGGUGCGUAACGCGUGGGAACCUGCCCUUAGGUUCGGAAUAACUCCCCGAAAGGGGUGCUAAUACCGGAUAAUGUCUUCGGACCAAAGAUUUAUCGCCUUUGGAUGGGCCCGCGUUGGAUUAGCUAGUUGGUAGGGUAAAAGCCUACCAAGGCGACGAUCCAUAGCUGGUCAGAGAGGAUGAUCAGCCACACUGGGACUGAGACACGGCCCAGACUCGUACGGGAGGCAGCAGUGGUGAAUAUUGGACAAUGGGCGAAAGCCUGAUCAAGCAAUGCCGCGUGAGUGAUGAAGGCCUUAGGGUUGUAAAGCUCUUUUACCCGGGAUGAUAAUGACAGUACCGGGAGAAUAAGCACCGGCUAACUACGUG